This 247-nucleotide ribosomal RNA is filed under the name uncultured bacterium. Its description in RNAcentral is "partial 16S ribosomal RNA". It matches the Rfam family "Bacterial small subunit ribosomal RNA", at positions 523 to 769 of the family's 1533-position model. The record is from RNAcentral.
AUACGUAGGUGGCGAGCGUUGUCCGGAAUUACUGGGCGUAAAGGGUGCGUAGGCGGUAAGAUAAGUCAGAUGUGAAAUUCCGGGGCUUAACCUCGGAAUUGCAUUUGAAACUGUGUUACUAGAGUGCAGGAGAGGAAAGCGGAAUUCCUAGUGUAGCGGUGAAAUGCGUAGAUAUUAGGAAGAACACCAGUGGCGAAGGCGGCUUUCUGGACUGUAACUGACGCUGAUGCACGAAAGCGUGGGGAGC